Molecule: ribosomal RNA, 494 nt
Filed under: uncultured bacterium
Lineage: Bacteria
Description: partial 16S ribosomal RNA
Rfam family: Bacterial small subunit ribosomal RNA
Source: RNAcentral
GACGAACGCUGGCGGCGCGCUUAACACAUGCAAGUCGAACGGAAAGGCCUGCUUUCCCUUGUGGAUUGCGGGUACUCGAGUGGCGAACGGGUGAGUAACACGUGAGUGAUCUGCCCCCAACUUGGGUAUAAACCUGGGAAACUGGGUCUAAUUCCCGAAAGGACUGCAGGGUGGUGCCUGUGGUGGAAAACGAUUUUCUAGUGGUUGGGGAUGAGCUCGAGGCCUAUCAGCUUGUUGGUGGGGUAAUGGCCCACCAAGGCGGCGACGGGGAGUCAGAGUGUGAGGGGGGACAGUGACAUUGGGACUGGGAUACGGCCCAGACGCCUAGGGGAGGCAGGAGUGGGGAAUAUUGCACAAUGAGCGGAAGCCUGAUGCAGCGACGCCGCGUGGGAGAUGACGGGCUUCGGGUUGUAAACUCCUUUCGACCGCGAGGAAGCCACCUGGUUGGAAGGGUGGUGACGGUAGUGGUAGAAGAAGCACCGGCUAACUACGUG